Long non-coding RNA from Daphnia pulicaria, 203 nucleotides. RefSeq lists it as uncharacterized. The record is from RefSeq and is a predicted model, not a curated record. The transcript has 3 exons. Lineage: Eukaryota; Metazoa; Arthropoda; Branchiopoda; Diplostraca; Daphniidae.
GUUAAACUUGUUCCAAGUUUGAGGCCUGAGCAAGCCAUCGUAACAGCAAAGUUUUGCUUGUGCUGGACCUCCAGUCAUAUGAUUUGACUGAUGACCUUCUGCCAUCAGCAGCAAUCACAACAUCAUCACUCAGAUAAACAGCAUCCCGUUUGAUUGGAGAAACUUCCAGUGUCGACCGAGUUGAUGAUCUCUUCAAUUUUCCC